This is a long non-coding RNA of Rosa rugosa (rugosa rose), 1336 nucleotides long. RefSeq lists it as uncharacterized. The transcript is spliced from 3 exons. Lineage: Eukaryota; Viridiplantae; Streptophyta; Magnoliopsida; Rosales; Rosaceae. The record is from RefSeq and is a predicted model, not a curated record.
CAGGGUUUGAGAAUAAAAGUAGGGUUGGAUUUUGAAUUGCUAAGAUAAAACUCUAUUAUUGUUACGUUACUAGCUUAAUGUAGGUUCACCACAACAAAUGUGGGCAACAGCCACAUUUGUAUUGCCACGAGCUGAAGGAAAUGUUGAAAUUGGGGUAGUUGGUGUCCAUAUCUCCCGCGUACAAACACAAAGUGUGGUGAGAAAGUGGGUGGAUUCAACACGAAGGUAGCCGCCAUGUAUUGUAUUCUCCGCCUCCUAGAUCUGGGACAACUCGGCAGUAAAACUAUUGUUCUUAGUUGUAUGAUAUCAAAUUUGGUCACAGGUUGCUGGAGGCCUAGCUUGUGGAACUCCUCAUAUGAUCAGUGCUACGAUUAAAGGCCUUGCUUGGUUGGCUUAUGAGUUUUCUGACCUUGUUUUCAAUUGCUAGCAAUUUGCUACGAUUAAAGUUCAUUUCAUUUAUAAUUUCUUUUAGAUCUGAACAAUUGCUUUGGUGCGUCGUCGUUUUCAGUCUCGGUGGAGGUAAGUUUGAUCCGAGUUUGGAUCUGGCUCGAGCUAGUAGUGGUAUACUUCCUCUGUGGGUGAGAGCUGCGGCCUUGCCUGUCUCGUUGGUGAGAAGUUGAUGGGGCUAAGAAUUUUGGCUGAUCUGCUGGUCGGUGGAGGUGGCCUUCGUAGGAGACUUGUGGGACUGGGUAUAAGGCGAGGCUUUCCUCAUAGGUUGUUGGGUGAUGGUGAUGCUGAGAUGAGCUCGUUUCUUUAAAGCCACGGAGGAGGGCAAUGGUUCUCGAUUUGGGUGCGAUUGCUGGUGGUGCUAAUGGCAAUGAUUUGGCUGACCAGAUCGACCUCAUUAGAAUAUGAUUUCAGGCAUGGGUCUACGCCUAUGAUCUCUAAUCCAAGAUCUCAAAUUUCAUCAGAGUAGAGGCUGAAACAAUGGCAAUGACUGAAUCCAAGCCGAUCAUCAUUGAACCCAUUCAUCCCCAGAAAUAUGAAAUAAAAUGAAUAAGAUCAGGGAUAUCAGCCAUCCAUCCCCAGGAAUACUCGAUAUUGGACCAGAAGCAUUUAAAAAAAAAAAACAAUUAUAAUAAUAAUUCCUACCCACCAUUGUUGUUAGUGGUCCCAAUGUGUCAGAGCUUCUCAGAGAAGCCACAGACAAGGAAAUCGAGACUAUUAAGGGGAAAGCCACCCCUCUACAGAGCACUGACCCUAUUAAAUGUGGCUGUAGUGUGGCUAUGGCUGCUAGACACACACAUGUGUGUCCUUUGAGGUCUUUUUGUCACGCAAGCUGUGUGUGGCCUUUGCCCAUAAUUGUAGUAGUGGUUGCUCUACGAUUUCCUAAACA